RNAcentral lists this ribosomal RNA (301 nucleotides) under uncultured bacterium. RNAcentral describes it as "partial 16S ribosomal RNA". It matches the Rfam family "Bacterial small subunit ribosomal RNA", at positions 509 to 809 of the family's 1533-position model. The record is from RNAcentral.
CAGCCGCCGCGGGAAUGCGUAGAUGGCAAGCGUUGUCCGGAAUUAUUGGGCGUAAAGGGCUCGCAGGCGGUUUCUUAAGUCUGAUGUGAAAGCCCCCGGCUCAACCGGGGAGGGUCAUUGGAAACUGGGAAACUUGAGUGCAGAAGAGGAGAGUGGAAUUCCACGUGUAGCGGUGAAAUGCGUAGAGAUGUGGAGGAACACCAGUGGCGAAGGCGACUCUCUGGUCUGUAACUGACGCUGAGGAGCGAAAGCGUGGGGAGCGAACAGGAUUAGAUACCCCUGUAGUCCCUGUCUCUUAUAA